AUGUCUAAACUUUUUUGUGUAACUCUUCUACUGUUUGUUACAGCAUUCCUGAUCCAAAAUGCUUCCGCUGGUGGGGAAGGAUCACUUCGUCCUCAAGAUUGUUCGGCUGCAUGUGACGUUCGUUGUUCAGACACUCAAUAUAAGAAAGCAUGUGUAACAUUCUGCAAUAUAUGUUGUGCUAAAUGUUUGUGUGUCCCAUCUGAAACAUAUGGAAACAAGGAAGAAUGCCCAUGUUAUAAUAAUUGGAAAACUAAGGAGGGAGAACCCAAGUGCCCUUAA
This 279-nucleotide long non-coding RNA is filed under the name Vicia faba (fava bean). Lineage: Eukaryota; Viridiplantae; Streptophyta; Magnoliopsida; Fabales; Fabaceae. The record is from RNAcentral.